RNAcentral lists this ribosomal RNA (897 nucleotides) under Pseudomonas sp. RNAcentral describes it as "bacterial SSU rRNA". It matches the Rfam family "Bacterial small subunit ribosomal RNA", at positions 34 to 926 of the family's 1533-position model. Lineage: Bacteria; Pseudomonadati; Pseudomonadota; Gammaproteobacteria; Pseudomonadales; Pseudomonadaceae. The record is from RNAcentral.
CGCUGGCGGCAGGCCUAACACAUGCAAGUCGAGCGGUAGAGAGAAGCUUGCUUCUCUUGAGAGCGGCGGACGGGUGAGUAAUGCCUAGGAAUCUGCCUGGUAGUGGGGGAUAACGCUCGGAAACGGACGCUAAUACCGCAUACGUCCUACGGGAGAAAGCAGGGGACCUUCGGGCCUUGCGCUAUCAGAUGAGCCUAGGUCGGAUUAGCUAGUUGGUGAGGUAAUGGCUCACCAAGGCGACGAUCCGUAACUGGUCUGAGAGGAUGAUCAGUCACACUGGAACUGAGACACGGUCCAGACUCCUACGGGAGGCAGCAGUGGGGAAUAUUGGACAAUGGGCGAAAGCCUGAUCCAGCCAUGCCGCGUGUGUGAAGAAGGUCUUCGGAUUGUAAAGCACUUUAAGUUGGGAGGAAGGGCAUUAACCUAAUACGUUGGUGUCUUGACGUUACCGACAGAAUAAGCACCGGCUAACUCUGUGCCAGCAGCCGCGGUAAUACAGAGGGUGCAAGCGUUAAUCGGAAUUACUGGGCGUAAAGCGCGCGUAGGUGGUUCGUUAAGUUGGAUGUGAAAUCCCCGGGCUCAACCUGGGAACUGCAUUCAAAACUGUCGAGCUAGAGUAUGGUAGAGGGUGGUGGAAUUUCCUGUGUAGCGGUGAAAUGCGUAGAUAUAGGAAGGAACACCAGUGGCGAAGGCGACCACCUGGACUGAUACUGACACUGAGGUGCGAAAGCGUGGGGAGCAAACAGGAUUAGAUACCCUGGUAGUCCACGCCGUAAACGAUGUCAACUAGCCGUUGGGAGCCUUGAGCUCUUAGUGGCGCAGCUAACGCAUUAAGUUGACCGCCUGGGGAGUACGGCCGCAAGGUUAAAACUCAAAUGAAUUGACGGGGGCCCGCAC